RNAcentral lists this long non-coding RNA (259 nucleotides) under Malus domestica (apple). Its description in RNAcentral is "long non-coding RNA (MDOM_LNC016467)". Lineage: Eukaryota; Viridiplantae; Streptophyta; Magnoliopsida; Rosales; Rosaceae. The record is from RNAcentral.
CCACCUCCCGACUUCUCAUGGUCCUACAAGAAUUCAUUAAAGUAACCACCACAAAUCUAUGGGAUGUUGUCCAAGCUAAAUUUCUGAAUCAUUCCCCUCCAAAAGUCCACAUUCUUAGCCCGGUAAAAGGUUCCAUAAACUCUUGUGAAUCGAAACACACACUGAAAGUCAACACAGCUGCAAAUAGCAUCAAUAAAGAUUUUCAAAGACUCCAUUACUUCUACUUUCAACGAAUCAUCCCACCAGAGACUCAAAUCAC